RNAcentral lists this ribosomal RNA (797 nucleotides) under Escherichia coli. RNAcentral describes it as "partial 23S ribosomal RNA". It matches the Rfam family "Bacterial large subunit ribosomal RNA", at positions 392 to 1191 of the family's 2925-position model. Lineage: Bacteria; Pseudomonadati; Pseudomonadota; Gammaproteobacteria; Enterobacterales; Enterobacteriaceae. The record is from RNAcentral.
ACAUACUGUGAGCUCGAUGAGUAGGGCGGGACACGUGGUAUCCUGUCUGAAUAUGGGGGGACCAUCCUCCAAGGCUAAAUACUCCUGACUGACCGAUAGUGAACCAGUACCGUGAGGGAAAGGCGAAAAGAACCCCGGCGAGGGGAGUGAAAAAGAACCUGAAACCGUGUACGUACAAGCAGUGGGAGCCUCUUUAUGGGGUGACUGCGUACCUUUUGUAUAAUGGGUCAGCGACUUAUAUUCUGUAGCAAGGUUAACCGAAUAGGGGAGCCGAAGGGAAACCGAGUCUUAACUGGGCGUUAAGUUGCAGGGUAUAGACCCGAAACCCGGUGAUCUAGCCAUGGGCAGGUUGAAGGUUGGGUAACACUAACUGGAGGACCGAACCGACUAAUGUUGAAAAAUUAGCGGAUGACUUGUGGCUGGGGGUGAAAGGCCAAUCAAACCGGGAGAUAGCUGGUUCUCCCCGAAAGCUAUUUAGGUAGCGCCUCGUGAAUUCAUCUCCGGGGGUAGAGCACUGUUUCGGCAAGGGGGUCAUCCCGACUUACCAACCCGAUGCAAACUGCGAAUACCGGAGAAUGUUAUCACGGGAGACACACGGCGGGUGCUAACGUCCGUCGUGAAGAGGGAAACAACCCAGACCGCCAGCUAAGGUCCCAAAGUCAUGGUUAAGUGGGAAACGAUGUGGGAAGGCCCAGACAGCCAGGAUGUUGGCUUAGAAGCAGCCAUCAUUUAAAGAAAGCGUAAUAGCUCACUGGUCGAGUCGGCCUGCGCGGAAGAUGUAACGGGGCUAAACCAUG